ACGGCUCAGUAACACGUGGAGAACUUGCCCUACGCUGGAGAAUACCCUCGGGAAACUGAGAAUAAUGCUCCAUAGUCCCGCCGUCCUGGAACGGUGGUGGGAUGAAAGCUCCGGCGGCGUAGGAUAGCUCUGCGGCCUAUCAGGUCGUAGCGAGGGUAACGUCCUCGCUAGCCUUCGACGGGUAUGGGUGUUGGGAGACAUCGCCCAGAGAUGGAUUCUGAGACACGAAUCCAGGUCCUACGGGACGCAGCAGGCGCGAAAACUGCACAAUGUGGGAAACCACGAUGCGGGAAACCCAAGUGCCAGCACUAUGUGUUGGCUGUCCUCGACUGUUCGUAAGUCGGGAAGAAAGUGCUGGGUAAGACGGGUGCCAGCCGCCGCGGUAAUACCCGCAGCACAAGUGGUGGUCAUUAUUAUUGGGCCUAAAGCGUCCGUAGCUGGCCUGUUAGAUGCCUGGGUAAAUCGAUGCGCUCAACGUAUCGAACUCCGGGUAGACCGGCAGGCUCGAGACCGGGAGAGGUGUA
Molecule: ribosomal RNA, 524 nt
Filed under: uncultured Thermoplasmatales archaeon
Lineage: Archaea; Methanobacteriati; Thermoplasmatota; Thermoplasmata; Thermoplasmatales
Description: bacterial SSU rRNA
Rfam family: Archaeal small subunit ribosomal RNA
Source: RNAcentral